UUUUGUAUAUAUGUAUAAAAUAUCAAAUUCCAAAUAUACAUAUGUAUAUAUAUAUGUAUAUAUAAAUACAUGUAUUAUGUAUCUACAGGAUAUCUCAUGCAAUGUUUGUAUCUACUUAUAUGCAGGUAGAAUUUAACGAACCAAAUAUUUUAUUAACUGAACAAAAGUUUUAUACAAUUUAGCAACAAUCAUAAUUCUUUAUGUAUUAAUGAUAGAAAAUAAGCAAAUGAGUAUAUGUGUUAGUAAUGAAAUGAAUUCUUAAAAGAUAAAGGAUGGAAAAUCUGAAAGCCCUUAUACACCAUCUGCUGUUGCUAAGUGAUUGUUGAUAGAUUCAAAUAUGUUGGAUGUGACUUUAAGAACUUGCCUCAUCACACAUAUUACCUGCAAUCAUAUUUACUGUCUCUAAUUUUCUUUAAUUAAUAUCUUCAUAAUUAUCACAGUUUGUAGAGUGAUAAAGGAUCUUUUUGUUCAGUUUUAAUGAGUUCUUUCUAUAUAUGAAGAAAUAUACGAGUUAUGUUAAAUCUCUUGUAAACACACAUACAUACACAGAGGUUGAGGUAAUAACUAUUAUUAUCUUAAAAGCUUUUAAUAAAUAAAAUAAAGGAAAAAUUUAGCAAAAAUUACAUUGUACAAAAGUAAUUGUCUUAUGCCAAUAAUGCUUUUCAUGAAGUAUCUUCAAAAAUUUGAAAGUCACUUUGCUUUUCUUAAAUGAAAUAUAGUGUUUUUUGUUCCUUUUUUAUAACUAUUUAAAAAAUGCAAUAUCUGUGAUAUAAUAAAUUACACUAGCUUGUAAAAAUCGAACUUUUUUCUGCGGGUGUAAUGAGAGGUGAUUUUUAUAGAUUUUUGCCCGCUGAACAUGAAUCCGUUGUCCAUAUUUAGCUAUCACAAGUUUGAGAAAAAUGGCGUCAAAGAGGCGAAAAACGACGAUUUUGAGGGUAUUUGUGGUGUUGUAGCACCUGCAGUAAAUUGUUUUGUUAAAUUUUGUUAAUGUGAACAUGAAAAUAUAAACUUGUACCUUUAAAA
Molecule: long non-coding RNA, 1023 nt
Organism: Odontomachus brunneus
Lineage: Eukaryota; Metazoa; Arthropoda; Insecta; Hymenoptera; Formicidae
Exons: 2
Source: RefSeq, a predicted model, not a curated record